This 460-nucleotide ribosomal RNA is filed under the name uncultured bacterium. RNAcentral describes it as "partial 16S ribosomal RNA". It matches the Rfam family "Bacterial small subunit ribosomal RNA", at positions 338 to 795 of the family's 1533-position model. The record is from RNAcentral.
CCUACGGGAGGCAGCAGUGAGGAAUAUUUGUCAAUGGACGAGAGUCUGAACCAGCCAAGUAGCGUGAAGGAUGACUGCCCUAUGGGUUGUAAACUUCUUUUAUAUGGGAAUAAAAUGUUCCACGUGUGGGAUUUUGUAUGUACCAUCUGAAUAAGGAUCGGCUAACUCCGUGCCAGCAGCCGCGGUAAUACGGAGGAUCCGAGCGUUAUCCGGAUUUAUUGGGUUUAAAGGGAGCGUAGGUGGAUUGUUAAGUCAGUUGUGAAAGUUUGCGGCUCAACCGUAAAAUUGCAGUUGAAACUGGCAGUCUUGAGUACAGUAGAGGUGGGCGGAAUUCGUGGUGUAGCGGUGAAAUGCUUAGAUAUCACGAAGAACUCCGAUUGCGAAGGCAGUUCACUGGACUGCAACUGACACUGAGGCUCGAAAGUGUGGGUAUCAAACAGGAUUAGAUACCCUAGUAGUC